AAAAAAAAAAAAAAAAAAAAAAAAAAAAAAAAAAGGGCGGCCACGUCAGCAGGCCCGGUCAGCAGUCCCGGCCAACCAGGGCCUGCCACGUGGCAAGACCGCGUCACUCCAAAAGGAGCCACGCUGGCGAUCCGCGUGGGUGCGAUCCGACGGCCCAGAUCAAUCACGCGAUCGGACGGCCCAGAUUCAAUCAAAAACGAACGGCCCAGAUUAAAACAAAAUGAACGGCUGUGAUCAAAAGGCAAGGGGUUAUAAAUAGAACCUCCACACCAGACCACAAACCCUAGCCGCCAGCCGCUCGCCGGAGAAGACGAACCAGAGGCCGACCGCCGCCACCCGCCGCCACUCGCCGCCGCACCGGGGAAAUUUCCGACCGCCGAUCGAGGUAAAUUUCAUACCCCCGACUCGUUUUUCCCCACUGAUUCCUCCUAUGGCCAAAUCGAAGCCGAAAUCCCGGCCAAACGGCCGGAAUACGCGGCCGAAGCCCAGCGGCACCGCCGCGCCCCCUCUCGAUUUUUGCCUCCGACGAGGCCCUUCCCGGCCUCCGUUCGAUGCAAUUUUUAUAUCACCGUGAUCACCAUUCUUUUCUCUACAGGUUGACCGAAGCCAAAUCACCAAAACACGAACUUCGCCGGAGAGUCGCCGUACCCGAGAGCGCCGCC
This 662-nucleotide long non-coding RNA is filed under the name Carica papaya (papaya). Its description in RNAcentral is "long non-coding RNA (CPAP_LNC005995)". The record is from RNAcentral. Lineage: Eukaryota; Viridiplantae; Streptophyta; Magnoliopsida; Brassicales; Caricaceae.